RNAcentral lists this ribosomal RNA (551 nucleotides) under uncultured soil bacterium. RNAcentral describes it as "bacterial SSU rRNA". It matches the Rfam family "Bacterial small subunit ribosomal RNA", at positions 28 to 611 of the family's 1533-position model. The record is from RNAcentral.
AAUCAACGCUGGCGGCGCGCUUAACACAUGCAAGUCGAACGAGAAAGUGGAGCAAUCCAUGAGUAAAGUGGCGUACGGGUGAGUAACACGUGGGUAAUCUACCUCUUAGUGGGGAAUAACGCUGGGAAACCGGCGCUAAUACCGCAUAAGCUCGAGAGAGGAAAGUCGUAAGACGCUGAGAGAGGAGCCCGCGGCCGAUUAGUUAGAUGGCAGGGUAAAAGCCUACCAUGACGUAGAUCGGUAGCCGGCCUGAGAGGGCACACGGGCACACUGGCACUGAAACACGGGCCAGACUCCUACGGGAGGCAGCAGUGGGGAAUCUUGCACAAUGGGGGAAACCCUGAUGCAGCGACGCCGCGUGAGCGAUGAAGCCCUUCGGGGUGUAAAGCUCUUUCGGCAGGGAAGAUUAUGACGGUACCUGCAGAAGCAGCUGCGGCUAACUACGUGCCAGCAGCCGCGGUAAUACGUAGGCAGCGAGCGUUGUUCGGAGUUACUGGGCGUAAAGGGUGUGUAGGCGGUUCUCUAAGUUUGGUGUGAAAUCUCCCGGCUUA